Molecule: ribosomal RNA, 448 nt
Filed under: uncultured bacterium
Lineage: Bacteria
Description: bacterial SSU rRNA
Rfam family: Bacterial small subunit ribosomal RNA
Source: RNAcentral
UGGGGAAUAUUGGACAAUGGGCGCAAGCCUGAUCCAGCCAUGCCGCGUGAGUGACGAAGGUCUUCGGAUUGUAAAGCUCUUUUUGGCGGGGACGAUAAUGACGGUACCCGCAGAAUAAGCCCCGGCUAACUUCGUGCCAGCAGCCGCGGUAAUACGAAGGGGGCUAGCGUUGUUCGGAAUUACUGGGCGUAAAGCGCACGUAGGCGGACUGAUAAGUCAGGGGUGAAAUCCCGGGGCUCAACCUCGGAACUGCCUUUGAUACUGUUAGUCUCGAGUCCGGAAGAGGUGAGUGGAAUUCCUAGUGUAGAGGUGAAAUUCGUAGAUAUUAGGAAGAACACCAGUGGCGAAGGCGGCUCACUGGUCCGGUACUGACGCUGAGGUGCGAAAGCGUGGGGAGCAAACAGGAUUAGAUACCCCAGUAGUCCCUGAGCGGGCUGGCAAGGCGCAU